GGCCAAGAUGGCGGCGUCAUGCUUGGUCCUGCUGGCGGUGUGUCUGCUGCUGCCGCUGCUGCUGCUGGGAGGAUGGAAGCGCUGGCGGCGGGGGCGGGCGGCCCGGCAUGUAGUAGCUGUGGUGCUGGGCGACGUGGGCCGCAGCCCCCGUAUGCAGUACCACGCGCUGUCGUUGGCCAUGCACGGCUUCUCGGUGACCCUCCUGGGGUUCUGCAACUCCAAACCCCAUGAUGAGCUCUUGCAGAACAACAGAAUUCAGAUUGUGGGGUUGACAGAACUUCAGAGUCUUGCAGUUGGGCCCCGAGUUUUCCAGUACGGAGUCAAAGUUGUAUUUCAGGCUAUGUACUUGCUGUGGAAGCUGAUGUGGAGGGAGCCAGGUGCCUAUAUCUUUCUCCAGGUGUGUAUCAGCCUCUGCCUCCCUCUGUGAGAGCCAUGUUAGCAGUUUACUUUCCACACAAAUUGGUACUAUAUUGCAUAUUCAUAUGUGUGUGUGUUGUGUGUAUGGGCGUUUAAAGACAUGAGUAGGAGCCUAUGGUAUGUGUCUAUUUAUGGCACCUAUCCAUGCUCU
This 568-nucleotide small RNA is filed under the name Pan troglodytes (chimpanzee). RNAcentral's name for it is "retained intron". Lineage: Eukaryota; Metazoa; Chordata; Mammalia; Primates; Hominidae. The record is from RNAcentral.